GCUGGGCAUGGUGGUGCACGCCUGUAAUCUCAGCAAUUUAGGAGGCUGAGGCAGGAGGAUUAAGUUCAAGGCCAAUGUCAGCAACUUCCCAAGACCCUGCCUCAA
RNAcentral lists this small RNA (105 nucleotides) under Marmota monax (woodchuck). The record is from RNAcentral. Lineage: Eukaryota; Metazoa; Chordata; Mammalia; Rodentia; Sciuridae.